This 1368-nucleotide ribosomal RNA is filed under the name uncultured bacterium. Its description in RNAcentral is "16S ribosomal RNA". It matches the Rfam family "Bacterial small subunit ribosomal RNA". The record is from RNAcentral.
AGAGUUUGAUCCUGGCUCAGGACGAACGCUGGCGGCGCGCCUAACACAUGCAAGUCGAACGAGAGAGAGGAAGCUUGCUUCCUCAAUCGAGUGGCGAACGGGUGAGUAACGCGUGAGGAACCUGCCUCAAAGAGGGGGACAACAGUUGGAAACGACUGCUAAUACCGCAUAUGCCCACAGCUCGGCAUCGAGCAGAGGGAAAGGGAGCAAUCCGCUUUGAGAUGGCCUCGCGUCCGAUUAGCUGGUUGGUGAGGUAAUGGCCCACCAAGGCGACGAUCGGUAGCCGGACUGAGAGGUUGAACGGCCACAUUGGGACUGAGACACGGCCCAGACUCCUACGGGAGGCAGCAGUGGGGAAUAUUGCACAAUGGGGGAAACCCUGAUGCAGCGACGCCGCGUGGAGGAAGAAGGUCUUCGGAUUGUAAACUCCUGUUGUUGGGGAAGAUAAUGACGGUACUCAACAAGGAAGUGACGGCUAACUACGUGCCAGCAGCCGCGGUAAAACGUAGGUCACAAGCGUUGUCCGGAAUUACUGGGUGUAAAGGGAGCGCAGGCGGGAAGACAAGUUGGAAGUGAAAUCUAUGGGCUCAACCCAUAAACUGCUUUCANACUGUUUUUCUUGAGUAGUGCAGAGGUAGGCGGAAUUCCCGGUGUAGCGGUGGAAUGCGUAGAUAUCGGGAGGAACACCAGUGGCGAAGGCGGGCUACUGGGCACCAACUGACGCUGAGGCUCGAAAGUGUGGGUAGCAAACAGGAUUAGAUACCCUGGUAGUCCACACCGUAAACGAUGGUUACUAGGUGUUGGAGGAUUGACCCCUUCAGUGCCGCAGUUAGCACAAUAAGUAAUCCACCUGGGGAGUACGACCGCAAGGUUGAAACUCAAAGGAAUUGACGGGGGCCCGCACAAGCAGUGGAGUAUGUGGUUUAAUUCGACGCAACGCGAAGAACCUUACCAAGUCUUGACAUCCUGCGACGCACAUAGAAAUAUGUGUUUCCUUCGGGACGCAGAGACAGGUGGUGCAUGGUUGUCGUCAGCUCGUGUCGUGAGAUGUUGGGUUAAGUCCCGCAACGAGCGCAACCCUUACUGUCAGUUACUACGCAAGAGGACUCUGGCAGGACUGCCGUUGACAAAACGGAGGAAGGUGGGGAUGACGUCAAAUCAUCAUGCCCUUUAUGACUUGGGCUACACACGUACUACAAUGGCGUUAAACAAAGAGAAGCAAGACCGCGAGGUGGAGCAAAACUCAGAAACAACGUCCCAGUUCGGACUGCAGGCUGCAACUCGCCUGCACGAAGUCGGAAUUGCUAGUAAUCGUGGAUCAGCAUGCCACGGUGAAUACGUUCCCGGGCCUGUACACACCGCCCGUCA